Molecule: ribosomal RNA, 459 nt
Filed under: uncultured bacterium
Lineage: Bacteria
Description: partial 16S ribosomal RNA
Rfam family: Bacterial small subunit ribosomal RNA
Source: RNAcentral
CCUACGGGUGGCAGCAGUGAGGAAUAUUGGUCAAUGGGCGAGAGCCUGAACCAGCCAAGUCUCGUGAAGGAUGACGGCCCUACGGGUUGUAAACUUCUUUUGUCAGGGAGCAAUUGGGUCCACGCGUGGGCUUAGCGAGAGUACCUGAAGAAAAAGCAUCGGCUAACUCCGUGCCAGCAGCCGCGGUAAUACGGAGGAUGCGAGCGUUAUGCGGAGUUAUUGGGUUUAAGAGUGCGUAGGCGGAAUAUCAAGUCAGCGGUAAAAAUUCGGGGCUCAACCCCGUCGUGCUGUUGAGACUGAUGUUCUUGAGUGGGCGAGAAGUAUGCGGAAUGCGUGGUGUAGAGGUGAAAUGCAUAGAUAUCACGCAGAACUCCGAUGGCGAAGGCAGCAUACCGGCGCCCAAUGGACACUGAGGCUCGAAAGUGUGGGUAUCAAACAGGAUUAGAUACCCUUGUAGUC